AGAUGUUCGAUCUUAGGAGCAAGUAAGGUUACAUGACCCUCUCUUCCCAUUCAAUGAGGUGCUCUUCAUGACAUGUAGGGGUGCCACUGUGAGGUCCCAUGAAGAAGAAAGAAAAAAGAAAAAACUUACAUUCUUGCAAAAUUCUAGAUCUCGAAACUCUAGGUGUUGUUGUAUGUGAUACAUGUUGUGAAGAAACUAGUUA
Molecule: long non-coding RNA, 202 nt
Filed under: Elaeis guineensis (African oil palm)
Lineage: Eukaryota; Viridiplantae; Streptophyta; Magnoliopsida; Arecales; Arecaceae
Description: long non-coding RNA (EGUI_LNC055549)
Source: RNAcentral